RNAcentral lists this ribosomal RNA (149 nucleotides) under Enterococcus sp. Its description in RNAcentral is "partial 16S ribosomal RNA". It matches the Rfam family "Bacterial small subunit ribosomal RNA", at positions 428 to 569 of the family's 1533-position model. Lineage: Bacteria; Bacillati; Bacillota; Bacilli; Lactobacillales; Enterococcaceae. The record is from RNAcentral.
AAACUCUGUUGUUAGAGAAGAACAAGGAUGAGAGUAACUGUUCAUCCCUUGACGGUAUCUAACCAGAAAGCCACGGCUAACUACGUGCCAGCAGCCGCGGUAAUACGUAGGUGGCAAGCGUUGUCCGGAUUUAUUGGGCGUUCAGCAAA